This 483-nucleotide long non-coding RNA is filed under the name Homo sapiens (human). RNAcentral describes it as "non-protein coding lnc-MDFIC2-6:2". Lineage: Eukaryota; Metazoa; Chordata; Mammalia; Primates; Hominidae. The record is from RNAcentral.
GAUACGCAACUCACGAAUGCAAAGCAUGCAGAUGAGAAACCCAUUAAUGCUAUUGUUAUAAAUUCAGUAUCUGACUUCAAUAUCACAGAUGGACCAGCCAAGGAAAACCCCAAUGAGAAAAAACUGUCAGAAUCCAGCACAUCACUGUCCUCCCUUGAAGAAUGCCAAACAACAUUUUCUUACCUCCAAACUGAUACUUCAGUUCAUCACAGAGACACUGAUGAGGAGUGUGCCUCCCUUAUCCUCGCCUGUCUGUUUUGCCAGUUUUGGGACUGUCUCCUGAUGCUCCCCGGCACCUGCGAAACGGUGUGUACCAAAAUGUGCUGCCCCUCUCGCCGGUAUCACCACACCUCGGAUGAAAACCACUCUCGGAAUGAUUGCAGCUGCAAUUGUGACAUGGACUGCAGCCUUUUUGAAUCUUGCCAUGAGACCAGCGAGUGUCUGGAACUGGCCAUGGAGAUUUCAGAAAUCUGUUACCGCUAG